UUUCUUAGCAUAAGAAUGACAUCUAUUGUUAUCUAUCUAAUCUGUCUUUGCUGUGAAGGUGUCUUCUUGUCUUUCUUCAGAUUUAAUAAGAUCUAAUUGCUUGAGGAAAGACAGCUUUACAGCCCACAGAGUAUGAGCUUGCUGGAGAAUUAAUUGAACGCCCAUUUGUUCUGCGAGUGAACACGGGCAUCGGCAAUAUGAUUGCAAAGUUCUGCAAAGGUUCCUGUCCAAAAUGGAUAUAGAAGAAAUGUGAUGUAUCCCUCUGAAACUGACAGAAGUAGGGCACAAUAUCCUCAAAACACAGCUUCUGAGAUAUGCGCACUUCAGCACAAGGCAGCAACAUAACAAAAUGGGUCUAAAUACAUUUGAAAUGCACUGAAGGCGAAAGGCAGCACAGACAAUCAAGUGAUUGAGCCAUGUAAAGACAACUUUUACCGAGUAUCAAUAUGCCAUAUGGGCACUUGUGAGGGGCAAUGGUAUGCCCAACUUAAAGGUGACUUAGUCCUGGAUUCCCAACAUUGUUCCAGAAAGCAACAAACCUCCGAAUCUCUCUG
Long non-coding RNA from Hyla sarda, 554 nucleotides. RefSeq lists it as uncharacterized. The transcript is spliced from 3 exons. Lineage: Eukaryota; Metazoa; Chordata; Amphibia; Anura; Hylidae. The record is from RefSeq and is a predicted model, not a curated record.